RNAcentral lists this ribosomal RNA (494 nucleotides) under uncultured bacterium. RNAcentral describes it as "partial 16S ribosomal RNA". It matches the Rfam family "Bacterial small subunit ribosomal RNA", at positions 28 to 507 of the family's 1533-position model. The record is from RNAcentral.
GACGAACGCUGGCGGCGUGCUUAACACAUGCAAGUCGAACGGUGAAGCGCCUUCCUUUUUGGUGGGUGUGGAUGAGUGGCGAACGGGUGAGUAACACGUGAGUAACCUGCCCCCUUCUUCUGGAUAACCGCAUGAAAGUGUGGCUAAUACGGGAUAUUCUGGGUCUGUCGCAUGAUGGGUCUGGGAAAGAUAUUGUUUCGGUGGGGGAUGGGCUCGCGGCCUAUCAGCUUGUUGGUGGGGUGAUGGCCUACCAAGGCGGUGACGGGUAGCCGGCCUGAGAGGGUGGACGGUCACAGGGGGACUGAGACCCGGCCCAGACUCCUACGGGAGGCAGCAGUGGGGAAUAUUGCACAAUGGGAGCAAGGCUGAUGCAGCGACGCCGCGUGAGGGAUGGAGUCCGUCGGGUUGUGAACCUCUUUCGCCAGUGAAGCAGGCCUGCCUCGUUUGUGGGUGGGUUGACGGUAGCUGGAUAAGAAGCGCCGGCUAACUACGUG